Molecule: unclassified non-coding RNA, 267 nt
Filed under: plant metagenome
Description: partial contains small subunit ribosomal RNA, internal transcribed spacer 1, and 5.8S ribosomal RNA
Source: RNAcentral
UUUCCGUAGGUGAACCUGCGGAAGGAUCAUUAUCGUGCAAAAUGUGAGGGGAAUGCUAGGGAUCUCGCUGACCCCAAAGUCGUGCACGCCCGAGUGCGUGCUCUUGAGUAAUAAUCCCUCGCACCCUUUGUGCACCACCGCGUGGGCAGCCCUCGGGAUCACCUCGGAGGGGGGCGCGCGUUUUCACACAAACCCCCCUUUUAAAAGUGUAGAAUGAGCACAUUUAUGCAAUAAAUACAACUUUCAACAACGGAUCUCUUGGCUCUG